UGUAAACAGUAGGCACAGUCAUUCCUUGAUCGACCUAGCAUCAACAUCGCUCGAUGUGUAUGAAGCUGCAAGUGAGAGAAGAAGCCGCCACUGAACACCUUCUUGGACUGUCACGACUCAAAUGAAAGGACAGGACUUCUACUCUGCUGGGUCGGCCUCACUACAUAUUCAAGAAGCCCUCGGACGUCAUCAGAAUGUAUUAAUGUGAAGAGGCAACAAGGGAGAGAUGAACGCUAUCAAAAAUGUGGAGAUGGAUCUGGCAGCCGACCGCUUUGGCACACACCCAACAAGAAACAAAACAACAAAGAAUACUAAAAUGCAUAAUUUGUA
Engraulis encrasicolus (European anchovy) is the source of this 330-nucleotide long non-coding RNA. RefSeq lists it as uncharacterized. The transcript has 3 exons. The record is from RefSeq and is a predicted model, not a curated record. NCBI's taxonomy places the organism in Eukaryota, Metazoa, Chordata, Actinopteri, Clupeiformes, Engraulidae.